UACGUAGGCAGCGAGCGUUGUUCGGAGUUACUGGGCGUAAAGAGUGCGUAGGCGGUUUUCUAAGUUUGGUGUGAAAUCUCCCGGCUCAACUGGGAGGGUGCGCCGAAGACUGGAAGGCUUGAGUAUGGGAGAGGUAAGCGGAAUUCCUGGUGUAGCGGUGAAAUGCGUAGAUAUCAGGAGGAACACCGGUGGCGAAGGCGGUUCUCUGGGCAUUACCUGACGCUGAGGAGCGAAAGUGUGGGGAGCGAACAGG
RNAcentral lists this ribosomal RNA (253 nucleotides) under uncultured bacterium. RNAcentral describes it as "partial 16S ribosomal RNA". It matches the Rfam family "Bacterial small subunit ribosomal RNA", at positions 524 to 776 of the family's 1533-position model. The record is from RNAcentral.